CUACCUGAAAAACAACACAAGAGAGAGAGAGAGAGAGAGAGAAGCAUGAAGGGAAGGAGAGCCAAGGACUGGAGGCCAGUGCCCUCCCUCCUAGGUCCCAGCUCCCUGAGCUGCAUGCUCUAACACUGCAAGUGCCAAGAUUCCAGAGCUUCCAAAAGCUUUGUGCUUUCCUCGGGCAGACAAGAGAAAGCACAAGACACCCGUUUCAUAAACAUGCUAGAACAGAAGGACAGGCAGAUGGUUACUCAAAGAGCCAAUCUCCGGCAGACUAUAAACAGUGGCCCAAGCAGGGCCAGGGAUUCCAACUCCCCCUGGGUGGCUCUCACUAACAGCUCACACCACCCCAAGUGUAAGCAAAAGGAGGAGUAUGGAUGAGGCAAAAGCAGUUUUCCCAGGAUUUAUCUUGGAGCUGUUGCAGUCAGCUCCUGAGAAUUGAACUUGGCACCUCUGGCUUAGAGUCAGUCAGAAGCAGGGAAGAAGACGGGCUCCAGGAAUGGCUGGAAGCAACACUGGCUGGUUACAGACAUGACUUUCUAUGACAGCAGCUUAAGUGUAAGUGUAUAUAUUUAGGGACAGAAUCUUCACCAAAACAGAAAAUUGAGAUUUCCAAAGAGAGUGACAAUAAUGUGACAUGUGAGACAGAAAUGUAGAAUUUGAGCUUCAAAGUGGGAUUGUUAGUUUACAAAGGUAAAUGGCUUUGUGGGAAUAAGUGACAGUCGUGUUGAGUCUGGAAUAGCAUGCUGUGUGUUGGAAUCCUGUAAACCCAUUCUAAUAAAAACAAUCAUAGUUGUCUCAUAUCAAUAAUGGAGUUAUUUCCAUUGGUUUUCUAGGCAAGUGAAAGGGAGGGGGCAGAGGCAACAGAGAGCAAUUCAAACAACAAAAUAGGAUGUUUUAAGACAUAUGAAUUAAAAAUGGCUUUGGAAUCUGAAUCUAUGUCCAUUGUUUGACCUUCUUACUCAACUCUUACAACAUGAUUUGUAUGUUGUAUUGGCCUAGAAUCAGAGCCAGCUCCAUUUCUGAACUGAGGGAACGAAGAAUGAUUUAAAUAAUUACAUUUCUCACAGUGAACAAUUAUUCUCACUAUAAUGACAACUCGGUGCCUUUAGAUCAUCAGCUAUGUAUGAGGUACUUUCUGUCAUUCGAUCGUGGCAAUUUUGUAAUGUAAGAUAGACAUUAAUCUCACUGUUGUGUUAUGGGAGAAAAGAAGUAGAUUGGCACUAAGCUCAUGGGAGUUUGAUUAAAGGCAGGACCAAGUCUUCAAAACAUAUCUGUGAUGCUCUACUUCAUCCAUGGGAGGGCAGAGAAGGAACCAAGGGGAUCAACAGAUGUUCUGGUACCAACUAGAAAUCAGCAAGAGAAACCUAGUACAACGAGCACCCAGAGUUUGGUCCCAGGUGUGUAGGUUCUGAUAAGUUUGUUUAGUUCCACCAGUGGCAAUAGCGAAGUAUAACAAGACAGAGAAAACCCCUUCUCAAGCUUCCAGAUCCCCUCAGGAUGCCAGCUUCCUUUGGAAAGAGUCAUGAGUGACCUGCUAUCAGAACAAUAACUUUUCUUUCCCGUUUUUGACAGAUUAGAGUACUGACAGAUUAGUUUACUGAGACCCAGACCAGCAAUUCCUUAUGCAUGGUAGAAACUCUCUAGUGGUGACAUCACUUUCAAAGCUCUGUGAAUUUAACUGUUGAUUCUGUAUAAUACCCUUAGCAUUUGGCAAUCUUAAAGACAAAUAAUUGGUUGUGUGGUCUUGCAACACAUUAUUCCUGACAUCCUAUUUCCCCAGCUUUGUUUGCUAGAAGAUCGUCAGGUUGGUUACUAAGUGACAAAGAUGGGCAGUUUUCAAAAAUAUCUCAUGUGGUUAGAGUCUCCAGGCCUAAGGUAUUAUUUACAAUGUGAAAUUAUUACUUGGAAACACCCAGUUUUCAUUUCAUAAAAGACAGAGUUGUAAUAACUGCCUGCAGAGAAACAGAAAUUCUUGAACAGAAACAGACCAUUACUAAAAAUUCAGACUUUUAAUAAAUAUCUGGGAUGUUUUUGAUAUCUUGUCAUUAGGACUUUAAGCUAAAGGGUUACUUUGGUUUUAUUGCUACUGGAACUCAAUAUAUUUGACUCUUACACAUUUUCAGAGCCUAAGGCCUCUUCGUUUUAGUACAUUCUAUCUUAUCUUCUGCGCAUCUGCAAAAGAUUAGCAGCCACUUUGAGGGUGGCCCAUAGGUGCAACUCUACUCAAAACCAUUUGAAUGACAUGGGAGUGAAAUUAUGCAUAUGCUAUUUCCCACCUACUUAAGCUGAUGAUUUUUUUAAUAUUUAUAAUUUGGGGGCUCAUCAGAUAGUUCAGUGGAUAAAGGCACUUGGUAUACAAGCUUGAAGAAGCUGCACUAGACUGGUAAUCUGAGCUUGAAUCUAGAACCCAAGUAAAUUAGAGGGAAUCAACUCCACAAAGUUGUUCUCUCACAAUCAUAUAUGUACACAUACACACAUACACAAACACAAUAUGUUUUAUAAAAAUUACAAUUUAGGGAACAUGAUAUAAAAUCAAUGAACCUUUUCUGAGGUUUUAAUUUCAAUUGGGACCUUACUGUGUUGUCUAGAGUAACCUUGAACUCCUGAACUCAGUUGAUUCUCCCAUUAUCAGUGCAUCCUGGGACUAUAGACACAUGCUACCAUGCCCAGCUGAGAAAGCUAAUUUUAUAAACAAAAUAAUAAAGACGAGAGACUCUGACUUGCCAUUUACUUAUUAGUUGGCAGCAAAACUCUGAGGAAGAAGAGGCAGCACCCGACUGCCUUCUUUAGCAUGUGCCACUGGGCAUUGCUGAAGACGCUGUAGUUCAUGGUAGCUGCACUGUGUUUCCACAGAGCUCAUCGGAACCACAGAACCUAAUUGCCACAUCACAUGUUACCUCUGCAUUCUCUGUUGGGGGAUCUUAGGAGAAUUACUUCACUCAUCCAUGCCUCAGCUUCCUCACAGCAACAUCACAGGCUUACUGUAAGCCAUUAAUAUAUACCCAACAGAAAGCUUAGAUCUAUGCUUGGCAAACACAGCAUAAGCUCUAAUAAGUAUUAAACACUAUUCUUAUUCUGAGAGGAUUAAAAUUCAAUCUGAAAUAUAACAUUGUACUAUAUACUAUUCAGGAUUUACACUUAACACACUAUCAUGCAGGAUAGUGUUUUCCCUUUAUAUAGUAAAAAAAAAUCUUUGAAAUAUAGCAUAUCUUAAUAAAAUGAACAAAAAGUACUCGACUUACACUUGUUUUUCUGUUAUUAAAAGCAAAUAUUAUGUACCAAAAACUAUUCCAAACACCUUUAUGCAAUAAUUUAUUUCUCAUAAUAACACAGACCCUAAGAAGUAGAGGCAGGUUCCAUGAAGUUGCUCUUAUAUCAGGGAGGUGCACAGAUUGACACAGUUAAUAAGUCAAGGCUGAAGCCAAGGCUCAACAUCCUCUGAUCCUAGGGACCUUGCUCCUAAACACAGUUAAUAUUAAUGAAUACACUCUAUUGUAGGCAUUCAUAUACUUGUCUCAUUGGCUGACCUCAUUAAAUUCUAAGAAGGAUUUUGAGAGAAAGAAUAUAUUUACCUGGAAGACUUAAUAACUAUUCUAUUUCCAUAGGAAUUUGGAAAUGUCACUGGCCUGUAGCAGUUUUGUGCCCAAGAGAAUUUUUGCCUCAUCAUGAAUUGUAUGUGCACACCCACUUGGAAAGUCACUGGAAAUAUUCUGAUGAAGCAUUAGAAAUGAUUCGCUUAUUGAAAGCUGGGACUGGAAGGCUGAUGGGAACUAAGAAACUUGUGUCAUCCCCAUCUGCAGUGCUUUUGUCCCUACCUAGAUUCAUCGUUGGCCACCUGCAUUGGUGGCCUUGGGUGACAACAAGGCUGUGAUGACCUUCAUGAGGACAAAUUCCUGGAGACUAAGAGAGCCAAUAGCAGAAACCAAUUUUCAAGCAACAAAAAGCUGCAUUCCAAAGUCCUGGAGCAUCUGAAGGAUACUCUUAGUGUCUUUUAAAAGUGACUGGCUAAAUCAGGAAGAGGACCAGCUAUGAGGAUCACUGCAAUCAUUGGAAGAGUAAAAUAGGUAAGUUGAAAUGAGAAGAACUUGAGAGCUGUUAUUAGAUUAAAACAAGAUACAGGAUUAUAGGUGUGGGAUGUCUGCUUUUGUGUAAGCAAAUCUUAAAAUCACAUGCAAUUUACUGUACUCUAGAACAUUAUCAAGGGAUAAUAAUGAUCUGUCAAUCAUGGCCUCCUUUGGUUUAUUAUAAAGUAACUUGGGAAAGGGCAGAUGCAAACACAUCUUUACUUUACUGCCAUUCCUGGCCAUGUGCAUACUGUUCUUAUCACAAAACUAUAAAUGUGAUGACAUAUGUAAAAUUUUAUUUCACAGAUAAUCGAGACAUUGAAUGUAGGUCUCAUCAAGAGGGCUUUGGGUCAGGAGACAUUUGAAUCCAGGCUCUGAAUCUCCACUUGGAAAUUGGGCAGAACAUGAAGAAAAAGUCCACUUCCCUUCAAGUUCUAUUCCAUGGGCUGCACAAUUAUGACAGCCAUUAAAACUGCACAUUCCUAUGUCAUUUCCUUUUACACCUACUGGAGUAUCUAAGGGUGUUGCCCAGGAAAAUCCCUACUUGUUAAGCUCUGUGCUGAGGAUCAGAAAUGCUAGAGUAUAAUAAUCAUUAACUUAUUGAUGAUGUGGGUAUUAAUGAGUGUUUCAAACACACUCUGUGUACAAACUCAUGUUCUCUUUACCACAGGCAUACAAGGGUGGAAUCCUUAUCUUCUUUCCUACAGCAGACAUGUGGCAGGACAAAUGGUCAACAAACAUUUGCUAAGUAAAUAUUAACCUGAACCUUUAAGAGGAGAGAGAGAGAGAGAGAGAGAGAGAGAGAGAGAGAGAGAGAGAGAGAGAAUAUGAAUAUGAAUGCACCUAAAGUUUAAGAGAGAUUUUAAAAUUUUAACCAAAACUAAGAAUCUAGUUAUCUAGUUACAGGCUGUAUUCACUUUUCCUUCCUUUGUUGAGCUUUCUUUAGGCCUUGUUUAAAGUUCUCUCGUUCUCUCUUGUUCCACAGGUGCAUUGCCUGAAUAUCUGCCAAAGACAGGUAGCUGAGCCAGAAGAUAAGGGGAUGAACUGGGUGGAGCGGACCAUGACCUGUGGCUCUUUUGGAAACCACUUUUCGAUACCUCCUCCCUUACAUUCUUAGACCUUGAAAGCCACCUGGCCAGGUUUCUGACUGCUAUGGUAACUUCCCUGGAAUUUUCUGAAAGCAAGUCUCAGUCCCUAUGGCACUUGUACAGCUUCCUGGACUAACAACCUGUGGGCAGUCUGUUUUAGAAGUUUCUGUCUUUAGAAACUGUAUGUACACACACACACACACACACACACACACACACACACACACACACACACACACACACAGAGUUUUAUUUUGUUUUAGGAGCUCUUAAUUGAACGUUUCCAGCAGAAACUACCUUUGUUAUCAAGUGAUUAUAAAAAUAAUGUAUGAGUUCAGCACAGUAUUUAUUGUGGAUCUUUCUCAGGGGCAGGAAUGAUGUUGUCUGCAAUGUCUUUGAUCCUUGUACUGAAAUAAUAAUGAAAAUGUAUUGAGUGUUUGCUAUAUACCUGGUGUUGGUGUCAUUUCUUAGUAAAUUUCACGUGAAUUUCCACUUCUGUUUAGUAAUAGUAUUCUUAUUUUAUAGGUAAAUACACUAAGGUAGAAAAGAGGUAGAUGUUCAAGAUUCCACAGAGAACACACACACACACACACACACACACACACACACACAGGCAAAUUCAUUAAAAACUUGGGAUGCAAAGUUAGUAUGACACCAUGCAGUUAACGCUUAGUUUAAGGCCCUUGUGGUUCAUUCUAAAACAAGGGUCAUAGAUAUGGACUGGUUUGUAAACCAAUCUUCCCUUUGAUGUGGCCCAUGUAUAGUUGGCAGAGAUACUGAACAGGAAAAAAAAGGACCCUCAAAUAGGGCUCUAUUGCCUGUCAGGUAGGUUCUGCACUGGGAACAGGCUUGGAUGCUGGUGGGCUCCAGGAGUUUCCACAGCCCCCCACUGCUUUUGGAAGAGUUCCACACACAGAGGUGGGUCAUGAAUUUCAUUCUAAUUAAUUACCUCGAGGACCUGGUAAUAAUGGCAAGUCUUUCCUGAAGUUUUUUUUUUUUAACUUACAUGUUACUUGUCUUUUAUCCAUCAGUUUGCUGGGCUGAACAGAGUCUCUGCCCCUUUAGCAAAUGUAGCUGGAAAGGAUGUUACUUCUAUUUAAGAAGUGUUCAUCUAGCGUUUACCAAAAUGAGAGGCUGCUCUGCACGUCUGACAGGAAAAUCUAUAUUGGGGAAGGGGAGUACAAAGGUGGCAGUGAUGUGGAAGCGGAAUGCCAUGUCGGGGGCAGGAAUGGAGGAAGGCGAUGAGGGAGUGGGGAAGGACAAUGUGGACAAGAUGCUGGCAAUAGUAAAAUUUGGGAUAGGGCUGUCCAGAAUAUAAGACAGGAAAAAAAAAAGAUGGACAUGCGUCUUCCUCUUUUAUACCUCUUCAUCCCCUCUCUUCUUGUGGAGAUAGUAGUAUAAUCAGCUUGCAUUGCUAAAUCCCAAUGAACAAAAACUCCCACUUGCUGGAAAUAAGACAGCAUAAAAUUUACAACUCACUGGCAAAGCAUCCACCAGGACUCUGAAACAGCUCCUCAUUUCCAUACUUAAGUUCAUUUACAAACCAACUCGAAAAUCUAAAAGCCUUAAAUGCCCCCCCAUCUUUGUCUCUACUGGUCAUUAAUGUCUCGGGGACAACUCAGUCCACUGUGCACAAUCAGCACCUAUUCACCCUUCACAGCCGUGAUGAGAGCAUCCCAGUUAAUAACCCAUCAAACAGUGGAGGUUCACUCUGGCUUGUACCCUUGACAUCCCCAGAGCAUCACUUUGACCCUCAUACUAUUGAAUGUACCAGUGUUAUACAGUAGACUCAGCCAGGCUCUUGUUCCCACCUCUUCGUGGUCUUUCAUCCCAGCUCAUGAAUUACUUCUUGUUUUUAUUACUUAUAUGUUAGAUCCUCCUGAAGCCGUUCUCUUGUUUAUUAUGAAUAGCCACAUGCGCUAGCUAUGUGGCUUUGAGAAAAGUUCAUAACCUCUCUGUGCCUUGCCUUCAUCCUUGAAGGGAAGAUUACCAUAGGAUAUGUCAUGUUGCGUUCUAGGGGCUAUGUAAGCUAUGUAGGUAAACAAAAUAGUGUCUAUGUCACAGGAUUGCUACUCUCUUAAUUCUGGUCUUAUAAUCACCCUCACUGAAUCACAUCUCCAUCCCAGCAUGUAUAGAAGCAGAGCCAGAGAAAGGAUUAUGGAGGAAGAACUUAGAUUUAUUUAUUUAUUUAUUAUAUAUAAGUACACUGUAGCUGUCUUCAGACACACAAGAAGAGGGCAUCAGAUCCCAUUACAGAUGGUUGUGAACCACCAUGUAGUUGCUGGGAUUUGAACUCAGCACCUCUGGAAGAGCAGUCAGUGCUCUUAACCACUGAGCCAUCUCUCCAGCCCCAAACCUAGCUGAGUAAGCCCUCUAUCAAUUGAGAUACACUCCAACUCUUAGAUUUUUCAGUCUGAUACUUAUUUCAUCUCCAGGAAUGCAACUCUUUCACAUAAAAGCUAGAACAAAUCCAUACAUGUGACAGAUCCACAGGUAAAAAGAAAUGUUCUACAGAACCACUGUCUUUAUACUCCAUCUCAUCACUGAGACCAAUGAGUUCAGAAAACAAAAACAAAACUAAGUAGGACACCACCACCACCACCCAGAACCUGUGCUCUACUCCAUCUCAAUUUUCAGGUCCAACGUGGCUAUGCUCAUACUGCCC
Rattus norvegicus (Norway rat) is the source of this 7814-nucleotide non-coding RNA. NCBI's taxonomy places the organism in Eukaryota, Metazoa, Chordata, Mammalia, Rodentia, Muridae. The record is from RefSeq and is a predicted model, not a curated record.